AAAGUCGAGGAACGAAAUCACAUCUUUCCAUCAAUUUGAAGAUGAGAGCUUGUGUGAUGCAUGAGAGAGAUUUAAGGAGUUACUCUGGAGAUGUCCUCAUCAUGGUAU
Molecule: small nucleolar RNA, 108 nt
Filed under: Citrus x clementina
Lineage: Eukaryota; Viridiplantae; Streptophyta; Magnoliopsida; Sapindales; Rutaceae
Description: Citrus clementina snRNA snoR71
Source: RNAcentral